RNAcentral lists this ribosomal RNA (253 nucleotides) under uncultured bacterium. RNAcentral's name for it is "partial 16S ribosomal RNA". It matches the Rfam family "Bacterial small subunit ribosomal RNA", at positions 1249 to 1500 of the family's 1533-position model. The record is from RNAcentral.
GCGAGACGGUGACGUUGAGCAAAUCCCAAAAAUAAACGUCUCAGUUCGGAUUGCAGCCUGCAACUCGGCUGCAUGAAGCUGGAAUCGCUAGUAAUCGCGGAUCAGAAUGCCGCGGUGAAUACGUUCCCGGGUCUUGUACACACCGCCCGUCACACCAUGGGAGUUGGAAAUGCCCGAAGUCAGUGGCCCAACCGCAAGGAGGGAGCUGCCGAAGGCAGGUUCGAUGACUGGGGUGAAGUCGUAACAAGGUACC